Long non-coding RNA from Neopsephotus bourkii (Bourke's parrot), 938 nucleotides. RefSeq lists it as uncharacterized. The record is from RefSeq and is a predicted model, not a curated record. Lineage: Eukaryota; Metazoa; Chordata; Aves; Psittaciformes; Psittacidae. The transcript is spliced from 5 exons.
GUGCAAGCCAUUUGCUGCAUGGGGUGGUUUCGCUGCUGGAUUUGUGAAGGUAUCUUAUGGAUGUGAUGCUGGCUUCUCCCUUUUGGCACACAAUCCUUUAUAGCAGUAGAUUUUCUCAUUUGAUGAUGUGUCAGCUGUAACUUCUCAACUACGUGUGUUGCAAUGAGAUAGCCAGUGGAACUUGCUUUGACAUCUGAUGUUAUUCCCUGGAUUACAUUCAGUGAUCUGUGGAGUCCAAGCAGUGCAGAAGGGAUGGGUCCUGACUGAGGCAUCACCUCUCCUGUAGCCUCGUGAAACCACUGGAAAAGAGUACAAAUGAAAAUGCCCAGUGAAGAGAAAGUGAAGCAGCAGGCAAAGUACAGACAAAGGUAUGAACCUCUGAGGAAAACAACUGUGGGCAAGAACGUGCAAAAUGCAGGACUCAAAUUAUCUGACUUUGUCCUUUCAAAUGUUAAGUCAAACAGGAAGCUUUCUUUUUCUCCCUUUUUUUCUUUUGGCAACUACUUCCCCAAGCGUCCUAUGGGGUGGAAAUGGGCAAUAAAUAGCAGGGUAUCUAAUGGCAUCAUUCCAGGCCUCCCAGCUACUGUUGUUGGCAAGGAAAUGGCUCUCCUUUUACUUCCUUCUUAUUUUUAGAGUGCUGAGUUUUCAGGGGGUGGAGGGAGGGUUGGCUAUUAUCAGUGAGAGUCAAACCACAGUGGCUGCCUUCCGCAGAGCUCUUACCACCCUGCCAAACUGGAGGAAGUUGGAGUCAUAUAAUUAACACCGCUAGUGGGUUUGCCUUGUAAGCGAGACUUCCUUUAGAUUUAAAAUGCAUGCAUGCAAAGCUGAACUGUCUCAUUCCUAUAGAAUCUCUGUUUUAAAUAUGUUCACAUUUUUGUCUUUUUCCUUCUUCCCCUGCUGCCACUUCUUCAAGUCUAAAAAUGCUCUCUGGAGAGAUG